This 569-nucleotide ribosomal RNA is filed under the name uncultured bacterium. RNAcentral describes it as "bacterial SSU rRNA". It matches the Rfam family "Bacterial small subunit ribosomal RNA", at positions 102 to 667 of the family's 1533-position model. The record is from RNAcentral.
ACGGGUGAGUAAUACAUCGGAACGUAUCCUGGAGUGGGGGAUAGCCCGGCGAAAGCCGGAUUAAUACCGCAUACGCUCUGAGGAGGAAAGCGGGGGACCUUCGGGCCUCGCGCUCAAGGGGCGGCCGAUGGCGGAUUAGGUAGUUGGUGGGGUAAAGGCCUACCAAGCCGACGAUCCGUAGCUGGUCUGAGAGGACGACCAGCCACACUGGGACUGAGACACGGCCCAGACUCCUACGGGAGGCAGCAGUGGGGAAUUUUGGACAAUGGGGGCAACCCUGAUCCAGCAAUGCCGCGUGUGUGAAGAAGGCCUUCGGGUUGUAAAGCACUUUUGUCCGGAAAGAAAUCAUCGGGGCCAAUACCCCUGGUGGAUGACGGUACCGGAAGAAUAAGCACCGGCUAACUACGUGCCAGCAGCCGCGGUAAUACGUAGGGUGCGAGCGUUAAUCGGAGUUACUGGGCGUAAAGCGUGCGCAGGCGGUGCUGUAAGACCGAUGUGAAAUCCCCGGGCUUAACCUGGGAACUGCAUUGGUGACUGCAGCGCUGGAGUAUGGCAGAGGGGGGUGGAAU